GACCCACCUGAUUCCAUCCCGAACUCAGAAGUGAAACGAAACAGCGUCGAUGGUAGUGUGGGGUUUCCCCAUGUGAGAGUAGAACAUCGCCAGGC
RNAcentral lists this ribosomal RNA (95 nucleotides) under Vibrio cholerae HC-56A2. Lineage: Bacteria; Pseudomonadati; Pseudomonadota; Gammaproteobacteria; Vibrionales; Vibrionaceae. The record is from RNAcentral. RNAcentral also lists the same sequence under 1 other name.